GAUGAACGCUGGCGGCGUGCCUAAUACAUGCAAGUCGAGCGAACGGACGAGAAGCUUGCUUCUCUGAUGUUAGCGGCGGACGUGUGAGUAACACGUGUAUAACCUACCUAUAAGACUGGGAUAACUUCGGGAAACCGGAGCUAAUACCGGAUGAUCUUUUGAACCGCAUGGUUCAAAAGUGAAAGACGGUCUUGCUGUCACUUAUAGAUGGAUCCGCGCUGCAUUAGCUAGUUGGUAAGGUAACGGCUUACCAAGGCAACGAUGCAUAGCCGACGUGAGAGGGUGAUAGGCCACACGGGAGCUGAGACACGGUCAAGACGACUAAGGGAGGCAGCAGUAGGGAAUGUGCCGCAGUGGGCGAAAGCAUGACGGAGCAACGCCGCGUGAGAGAUGGAGGUCUUCGGAUCGUAAAACUCUGUUAUUAGGGAAGAACAGAUGUGUAAGUAAAUGUGCACAGCGUGACGGUACCUAAUCAGAAAGCAACGGCUAACUACGUG
RNAcentral lists this ribosomal RNA (497 nucleotides) under uncultured bacterium. RNAcentral describes it as "partial 16S ribosomal RNA". It matches the Rfam family "Bacterial small subunit ribosomal RNA", at positions 28 to 507 of the family's 1533-position model. The record is from RNAcentral.